This 1321-nucleotide ribosomal RNA is filed under the name Sticta limbata. RNAcentral's name for it is "eukaryotic LSU rRNA". It matches the Rfam family "Eukaryotic large subunit ribosomal RNA", at positions 37 to 1375 of the family's 3401-position model. Lineage: Eukaryota; Fungi; Ascomycota; Lecanoromycetes; Peltigerales; Lobariaceae. The record is from RNAcentral.
AGCAUAUCAAUAAGCGGAGGAAAAGAAACCAACAGGGAUUGCCUCAGUAACGGCGAGUGAAGCGGCAACAGCUCAAAUUUGAAAUCUGGCUCCUUCGGGGUCCGAGUUGUAAUUUGUAGAGGGUGUUUCGGGUGCGAUGCCGGUCUAAGUUCCUUGGAACAGGACGUCGUAGAGGGUGAGAAUCCCGUAUGCGACCGGCGAUCAAGCCCGUGCGAAGCCCCUUCGACGAGUCGAGUUGUUUGGGAAUGCAGCUCAAAAUGGGUGGUAAAUUUCAUCUAAAGCUAAAUACUGGCCAGAGACCGAUAGCGGACAAGUAGAGUGAUCGAAAGAUGAAAAGCACUUUGGAAAGAGAGUCAAACAGUACGUGAAAUUGUUGAAAGGGAAGCGCUUGCAAUCAGACCGGUCCGGAGGCGAUCAGCCGCUGCUCGUCAGCGGUGCACUCGCCUGCGAUCCGGCCAGCAUCGGUUUGGGCGGCGGGAUAAAAGUCCCGGGAAUGUAGCUUCCUCCGGGGAGUCUUAUAGCCCGGGUCGCAAUGCCGCCCGCCCGGACCGAGGACCGCGCUUCGGCUAGGAUGCUGGCGUAAUGGUUGCAAGCGACCCGUCUUGAAACACGGACCAAGGAGUCUAACAUCUAUGCGAGUGUUUGGGUGUCAAACCCAGGCGCGGAAUGAAAGUGAACGGAGGUGGGAACCCGUCAGACGGCGCACCAUCGACCGAUCCAGAUGUCUUCGGAUGGAUUUGAGUAUGAGCAUAGCUGUUGGGACCCGAAAGAUGGUGAACUAUGCCCGGAUAGGGUGAAGCCAGAGGAAACUCUGGUGGAGGCUCGCAGCGGUUCUGACGUGCAAAUCGAUCGUCAAAUCUAGGCAUAGGGGCGAAAGACCAAUCGAACCAUCUAGUAGCUGGUUCCUGUCGAAGUUUCCCUCAGGAUAGCAGUAACGUUUUCAGUUUUAUGAGGUAAAGCGAAUGAUUAGAGGCCUUGGGGCUGAAACAGCCUUAACCUAUUCUCAAACUUUAAAUAUGUAAGAAGUCCUUGUUACUUAGUUGAACGUGGACAUUUGAAUGCACCGUUACUAGUGGGCCAUUUUUGGUAAGCAGAACUGGCGAUGCGGGAUGAACCGAACGCGAGGUUAAGGUGCCGGAAUGCACGCUCAUCAGACACCACAAAAAGUGUCAAUUCAUCCAGACAGCCGGACGGUGGCCAUGGAAGUCGGAAUCCGCUAAGGAGUGUGUAACAACUCACCGGCCGAAUGAAUUGGCCUUGAAAAUGGAUGGCGCUCAAGCGUGCUACCCAUACCUCGCCGCCAGGGUAGAAACGAUGCCCU